AGUGAACGCUGGCGGUAGGCCUAACACAUGCAAGUCGAACGGCAGCACAGUAAGAGCUUGCUCUUACGGGUGGCGAGUGGCGGACGGGUGAGGAAUACAUCGGAAUCUACUUUUUCGUGGGGGAUAACGUAGGGAAACUUACGCUAAUACCGCAUACGACCUACGGGUGAAAGCAGGGGAUCUUCGGACCUUGCGCGAUUGAAUGAGCCGAUGUCGGAUUAGCUAGUUGGCGGGGUAAAGGCCCACCAAGGCGACGAUCCGUAGCUGGUCUGAGAGGAUGAUCAGCCACACUGGAACUGAGACACGGUCCAGACUCCUACGGGAGGCAGCAGUGGGGAAUAUUGGACAAAGGGCGCAAGCCUGGUCCAGCCAUACCGCGUGGGUGAAGAAGGCCUUCGGGUUGUAAAGCCCUUUUGUUGGGAAAGAAAAGCAGCAGGUUAAUACCCCGCUGUUCUGACGGUACCCAAAGAAUAAGCACCGGCUAACUUCGUG
Molecule: ribosomal RNA, 492 nt
Filed under: uncultured bacterium
Lineage: Bacteria
Description: partial 16S ribosomal RNA
Rfam family: Bacterial small subunit ribosomal RNA
Source: RNAcentral